RNAcentral lists this long non-coding RNA (466 nucleotides) under Androctonus crassicauda. The record is from RNAcentral. Lineage: Eukaryota; Metazoa; Arthropoda; Arachnida; Scorpiones; Buthidae.
GGAUGACUAGUUGUCUCUCUACUUCCACUGUGCGUGCUCUCUCUCCCCUGCAAUGAUUGGUGAGCACUUCGUGGACAGAAAGAAGCACAUAGUUAGAGAUGAAUGAGCCUGGAGACUAAAUCGCAAAGCAUAUUAACACCUAGGGGAAGUAGCAGCCUCCUUUCCAGAUGGAGAAGCCCCAAUCCUGGAUGGUUCUGUAGAGAGCCUGAUGGUCAACUUGCAAUACCUCACAGAGCCAGCCCACAUCCCACUCAGCUCCCACGAGAAACGUUGUUGGAGAGAGGCAGAGAUGGCAGGAGCCCUGUCCUCCGUGCCAGGACUUUACUGGGCUUUGGUACUGACUGAGUGGCUGACAAGUUAUCUUCCAAUUCCAAUUGGCUGGGCAGGACAAGGGCUAGGAAUGACGGUGGUCAGGCUUGCCUGCUCCCAGCCCAGGAUGCCCCUGCUAUGGACCUUUCAUUUCUUU